UGUUAGUACAUUUUUACAUGAUAGUACAUGUUUACGCUAUAAAUCUAGUGUUUUGCAACGUUUUCUGUGAGGGUUGUGUUUAGGGCUUGGGUUAGAAGACAGAAAAUAUGAUUAACUUCAUAUAAAAAACAAUGGAGAUCUAUCAGAAGACCUCAGUAAUGUAGUCAAAUAAGCCUGUGUGUGUGUGUGUGUGUGUGUGUGUGUGUUUCAGGUCUGGAUCAGUUCUGCAGUUUUAAUCAAUCUGAUCCCUGUUACGCAGCUCUGGGACACAAACUCAAUCUGCUGAUGGUGCGAGACACUCGAGAAUAUGACCUGAGGUUACGUCACAGAAUAAAUAACACACAAGAUGAUCCAGUUUGUAGAGUAAAAUAUGGCAGGAUAAAGGAAUGUGAUCUUUAUAAUAACAGAACUGAAGUGAACAUCAUUAAUGGGACUGUGAUAAUAAAGCGUGUGAUCAGAGCAGAUUCUGGGAAUUACAGAUUAACACUCACUGACUCAGACGGCACAGACACAUCUAGAGAUCUUCAAGUGAUUGUUGAAGCUCCUAUUGGCUCAGUGGAAGUGUCAAUCAUCUGCUCCUCCAGUGGGGUGAUGAAGGUGUUCUGCUCCUCUGAGGGGGAUCAGCUCCUCUACAGCUGGACUCUGAAUGGAGAUCCACUGAUGGAUGGAAACAGCAGCAUUGAUCUGGAUGAGGGAACUGAUGGAGACAUCAGCUGCAGUGUGAAGAACCACAUCAGUCACGCACAGAAGAACAUUAGACUUAAACCCUGUCCUGGACCAACUACUGCAGCUGUGACCUCUAGUUUGACCUCUACGUCGACACAGACAGCAGAUUAUGUUUUAGAAUUCUCUCUGAUUGCUUUGGGCUGUGUUGCUCUGAUCCUGAUUCUGCUGUUCAUCACCAUAUGUUACAUUUACAAGAAGAAGCAGCUCAAGUCAACACAAGCCGCUGCUGGAGAUACAGAGCUCAUAUACGCUGAUAUCUCUCAUGAGAAAAAGAGUGAAAAGAAGAAGACAGGUAAGAAACUCAAAGAAGUUGCAGUUACACAAUGUAGAUGUUGUUAACAUUAACAAUUUGAGAACAAAGUAACAAUAAUUUGCACAGUUUGAUGUCAUCUGAGCUAACUUUGCGAUCAUUAGAUUUAAUCACCAUUGGUACACCACCUUUUUUUUUUUUCAAUUGGUCAGAACAAAAGUGACAGACAUGUUACUUCUUCAGCUGACAUUUUCUGGUGAAACUUAUUAUUUUGGACAUACUUCCAAGACUUAGUAUCUGUAAUUCUGAAAAACAGUAAAUGGUUUGGUUGGUUUGGUGACUGACAGCCACACAUACACCUCAAAACAUUAGAUUAAUCCACGCUGAGGAGAAGUGCCGAUGCACAACUCGCAUAAAGAAGACAAUUCUGCAAAUAACUGCAAUUGCAGGUUUCAAAUACAGAUGGCGACAAAGAGGCAAAACUUAUGUAAUGCAGCUUUAAACAUCAUCAAUCUUUUUGGUCUUGGGUCAUAAACUAAAUUUCCUUGUUGAAAAAUCCAGCAUAUGCUGGUUAGGUAUGUUAAGAAGCAUGGCAGCUGGUUUGAGCUGGUUUAAACUGGUCCUGAGCUGGUUUAAGCUGGUUAUGAGCUUACAGAUAAAGACAAUUAAGGAAUUAUAGAUAUUGGUAGAAACUUGUCAUAUCAUCUCUACAGCCUUAAAUAUGAAGAGUUCAAACAACAGAUUAAUGAAUUACUCCACAUUUCAGAAAAAGCUUAUGGACAUAACUAUAAUAUAAGUCAGACACUGAAGUGAGUUGCUGUUUUUGUCUCUUCUGAGGAAGAUUCAUUCACUUGUUUAUCAAUGAUCCACACAGAGAAACUUUGGUCAAGUCACCUUUAUUUAUAUAGCACAUUAAACAAAAC
Long non-coding RNA from Cyprinus carpio (common carp), 1899 nucleotides. Lineage: Eukaryota; Metazoa; Chordata; Actinopteri; Cypriniformes; Cyprinidae. The record is from Ensembl.